RNAcentral lists this ribosomal RNA (497 nucleotides) under uncultured bacterium. Its description in RNAcentral is "partial 16S ribosomal RNA". It matches the Rfam family "Bacterial small subunit ribosomal RNA", at positions 28 to 507 of the family's 1533-position model. The record is from RNAcentral.
GAUGAACGCUGGCGGCGUGCCUAAUACAUGCAAGUCGAGCGAACAGACGAGGAGCUUGCUCCUCUGACGUUAGCGGCGGACGGGUGAGUAACACGUGGAUAACCUACCUAUAAGACUGGGAUAACUUCGGGAAACCGGAUCUAAUACCGGAUAAUAUAUUGAACCGCAUGGUUCAAUAGUGAAAGACGGUUUUGCUGUCACUUAUAGAUGGAUCCGCGCCGCAUUAGCUAGUUGGUAAGGUAACGGCUUACCAAGGCAACGAUGCGUAGCCGACCUGAGAGAGUGAUCGGCCACACUGGAACUGAAACACGGUCAAGACUACUACGGGAGGCAGCAGUAGGGAAUCUUCCGCAAUGGGCGAAAGCUUGACGGAGCAACGCCGAGUGAGUGAUGAAGGUCUUCGGAUCGUAAAACUCUGUUAUUAGGGAAGAACAAAUGUGUAAGUAACUAUGCACGUCUUGACGGUACCUAAUCAGAAAGCCACGGCUAACUACGUG